UAGGGAAUAUUGCACAAUGGGCGAAAGCCUGAUGCAGCAACGCCGCGUGCGCGAUGAAGGCCUUCGGGUCGUAAAGCGCUUUUCGGGGAGAUGAGGAAGGACAGUAUCCCCGGAAUAAGGCUCGGCUAACUACGUGCCAGCAGCCGCGGUAACACGUAGGAGCCAAGCGUUAUCCGAAUUCACUGGGCGUAAAGCGCGUGCAGGCGGCUCGAUAAGUUGGAUGUGAAAGCUCCCGGCUCAACUGGGGGAGGACGUUCAAUACUGUCGGGCUAGAGGACGGCAGAGGAAGGUGGAAUUCCCGGUGUAGUGGUGAAAUGCGUAGAUAUCGGGAGGAACACCAGUGGCGAAGGCGGCCUUCUGGGCCGAACCUGACGCUCAGACGCGAAAGCUAGGGGAGCGAACG
Molecule: ribosomal RNA, 403 nt
Filed under: uncultured prokaryote
Description: bacterial SSU rRNA
Rfam family: Bacterial small subunit ribosomal RNA
Source: RNAcentral